This 274-nucleotide ribosomal RNA is filed under the name Nymphaster arenatus. RNAcentral's name for it is "partial 12S ribosomal RNA". Lineage: Eukaryota; Metazoa; Echinodermata; Asteroidea; Valvatida; Goniasteridae. The record is from RNAcentral.
UAACCCACGAAAAACCUUACCAGUUUUUGAAAACCCAACAUGUAUACCAUCGUCGUCAGUCUACCUCUCAAGAGAAGUACACUCAAUGAAAAUUGCUCAUUACGUCAGAUCGAGGUGCAGUUUAUAAACUGGGGAUAGGUGAGCUACAAUACUCUAAACCAACAUAACUCAAAUAUAACUAUGAACGGUUAAAUGAAAACUUAAACUAGAAACAGGAUUCAGCAGUAAUAUUCAAAAGAAAGUGAAUAUGAAAAUCACUAGCUCUAAAAUACGC